This 26-nucleotide non-coding RNA is filed under the name Mus musculus (house mouse). Lineage: Eukaryota; Metazoa; Chordata; Mammalia; Rodentia; Muridae. The record is from RNAcentral.
UGGCCUUUAGAAGGGACUUUCGUGGA